GGCGGUCUCCGGCCGUCCGAGUUGUAAUCUAGAGAAGUGUUAUCCGCGCUGGACCGUGUACAAGUCUCCUGGAAUGGAGCGUCAUAGAGGGUGAGAAUCCCGUCUUUGACACGGACUGCCAGGGCUUUGUGAUGCGCUCUCAAAGAGUCGAGUUGUUUGGGAAUGCAGCUCAAAAUGGGUGGUAAAUUCCAUCUAAAGCUAAAUAUUGGCGAGAGACCGAUAGCGAACAAGUACCGUGAGGGAAAGAUGAAAAGAACUUUGGAAAGAGAGUUAAACAGUACGUGAAAUUGCUGAAAGGGAAACGCUUGAAGUCAGUCGCGUUGGCCGGGGAUCAACCUUGCUUUUGCUGGGCGUACUUUCCGGUUGACGGGUCAGCAUCAAUUUUGACCGUUGGAUAAAGUCUAGGGGAAUGUAGCAUCUUCGGAUGUGUUAUAGCCCUUGGUCGCAUACAACGGUUGGGAUUGAGGAACUCAGCACGCCGCAAGGCCGGGUACUUGUACCACGUUCGUGCUUAGGAUGCUGGCAUAAUGGCUUUAAUCGACCCGUCUUGAAACACGGACCAAGGAGUCUAACAUGCCUGCGAGUGUUUGGGUGGAAAACUCGGACGCGUAAUGAAAGUGAAAGUUGAGAUCCCUGUCGCGGGGAGCAUCGACGCCCGGACCAGACCUUUUGUGACGGAUCCGCGGUAGAGCAUGUAUGUUGGGACCCGAAAGAUGGUGAACUAUGCCUGAAUAGGGUGAAGCCAGAGGAAACUCUGGUGGAGGCUCGUAGCGAUUCUGACGUGCAAAUCGAUCGUCAAAUUUGGGUAUAGGGGCGAAAGACUA
This 824-nucleotide ribosomal RNA is filed under the name Hebeloma sp. Its description in RNAcentral is "partial 28S ribosomal RNA". It matches the Rfam family "Eukaryotic large subunit ribosomal RNA", at positions 123 to 933 of the family's 3401-position model. The record is from RNAcentral. Lineage: Eukaryota; Fungi; Basidiomycota; Agaricomycetes; Agaricales; Hymenogastraceae.